This 325-nucleotide long non-coding RNA is filed under the name Androctonus crassicauda. The record is from RNAcentral. Lineage: Eukaryota; Metazoa; Arthropoda; Arachnida; Scorpiones; Buthidae.
CUUGUUAAAAGGGUUUUUGGCUGCAUGCUUCCGGGCCGUAUUGAAACUAUCGACUUGCCUCAACAUCAGGCAAGCGGAUCUAAAGGCAACCUCAGUACUGCCUUAACCUUGAGAGCUUUUGAAAAGAACAUGGAAAUCAUCUGGCAAAAGACUCAGGUUGUGAGAAACGUUCCUGAUCGUAAGGUCCUACCUGCAGCGAAGAAAGUCAAAAUCCUGAGGACCAGCCUAAAGCAUAACGUUAUCAACAUCAGGCAAGCAGAUAGUUUCAGUACGGCCUGGGGGUGUGCAGCCAGGGGCCUUUAGUGGGUUUUGACCUUGAGAGCCC